UAUGCACUCUACUGUAAGUCGCUCUGGAUAAGAGCGUCUGCUAAACGACUAAAA
Molecule: non-coding RNA, 54 nt
Organism: Salmo salar (Atlantic salmon)
Lineage: Eukaryota; Metazoa; Chordata; Actinopteri; Salmoniformes; Salmonidae
Source: Rfam